Molecule: transfer RNA, 81 nt
Filed under: Emericellopsis atlantica
Lineage: Eukaryota; Fungi; Ascomycota; Sordariomycetes; Hypocreales; Bionectriaceae
Also listed under: 1 other name
Rfam family: tRNA
About the family: Transfer RNA (tRNA) molecules are approximately 80 nucleotides in length. Their secondary structure includes four short double-helical elements and three loops (D, anti-codon, and T loops).
Source: Rfam by way of RNAcentral
GGUCGCGUGGCCCAAUGGCAAGGCGUUUGACUACGAUUCCUGUACAUCAAAAGAUUGUGGGUUCGAUCCCCACCGUGACCU